RNAcentral lists this ribosomal RNA (484 nucleotides) under uncultured bacterium. Its description in RNAcentral is "partial 16S ribosomal RNA". It matches the Rfam family "Bacterial small subunit ribosomal RNA", at positions 28 to 523 of the family's 1533-position model. The record is from RNAcentral.
GACGAACGCUGGCGGCGUGCUUAACACAUGCAAGUCGGACGAUGAACCCGGAGCUUGCUCCGGUGGAUUAGUGGCGAACGGGUGAGUAACACGUGAGUAACCUGCCCUUGACUCUGGGAUAACUGCGGGAAACUGUAGCUAAUACCGGAUACGACCCUCGGCGGCAUCGCCAGGGGGUGGAAAGAAUUUCGGUCAAGGAUGGACUCGCGGCCUAUCAGCUAGUUGGUGCGGUAACGACUCACCAAGGCGACGACGGGUAGCCGGCCUGGCAGGGUGACAGGCACACCGGGGACUGAGAAACGGCCCAGACUCCUACGGGAGGCAGCAGUGGGGAAUAUUGCACAAUGGGCGCAAGCCUGAGGCAGCAACGCCGCGUGAGGGAUGACGGCCUUCGGGUUGUAAACCUCUUUUAGUAGGGAAGAAGCGAAAGUGACGGUACCUGCAGAAAAAGCACCGGCUAACUACGUGCCAGCCGCCGCGGUAA